This 434-nucleotide ribosomal RNA is filed under the name uncultured prokaryote. Its description in RNAcentral is "partial 16S ribosomal RNA". The record is from RNAcentral.
CCCUACGGGGCGCCUUGAUGGAAGCGCGCCAUGGCGCGCGCGCUGUUUUCGCGGUGAGGGAUAGAAUGCCCUUUUUACUCGCAAUCAUGCACGUGUUGGGGUAUUGUUGAUUAAAGGGCGGUUUUCCGGGUGGUUGAGCGCGGCGCCCUUGACGGGGAAAUGACGCUGUUUCGGUGGGGAGCUUCUUAUUUUCUUUGUGCUGGAGAGACGACUGGCGCCGCAACUUUUUUCGAUGACCGUCGCCGGACUUCGCUCAUUCGAGUGAUGCCGCGCAGCUCUUUUCGCCUGCCGUCGCCUUUGCUUUUCUCUUUCCGCCGGAACAAAUAAUGACAUACAGCCGUUUCUAUCGGGUUGUCUUGAGCCUUCCCAUGGCGAUGCGCUCGGUGCUGACUUGAAUCGUUCAUCUCUGAUGUGUUCGCGCCGCGCGGGGGGGC